GACGAACGCUGGCGGCGUGCUUAACACAUGCAAGUCGAACGGUAAGGCCCUUCGGGGUACACGAAUGGCGAACGGGUGAGUAACACGUGGGUGAUCUACCCUGCACUUCGGGAUAAGCCUGGGAAACUGGGUCUAAUACCGGAUAGGACCACUGCCUGCAUGGGUGGUGGUGGAAAGCUUUUGCGGUGUGGGAUGGGCCCGCGGCCUAUCAGCUUGUUGGUGGGGUGAUGGCCUACCAAGGCGACGACGGGUAGCCGGCCUGAGAGGGUGACCGGCCACACUGGGACUGAGAUACGGCCCAGACUCCUACGGGAGGCAGCAGUGGGGAAUAUUGCACAAUGGGCGCAAGCCUGAUGCAGCGACGCCGCGUGAGGGAUGACGGCCUUCGGGUUGUAAACCUCUUUCAGCACCGACGAAGCGCAAGUGACGGUAGGUGCAGAAGAAGGACCGGCCAACUACGUGCCAGCCGCCGCAGUAA
This 478-nucleotide ribosomal RNA is filed under the name uncultured bacterium. RNAcentral describes it as "partial 16S ribosomal RNA". It matches the Rfam family "Bacterial small subunit ribosomal RNA", at positions 28 to 523 of the family's 1533-position model. The record is from RNAcentral.